UACGUAGGCAGCAAGCGUUGUUCGGAGUUACUGGGCGUAAAGAGUAUGUAGGCGGUGUCCUAAGUUCGGUGUGAAAAUCUCCCGGCUCAACUGGGAGGGUGCGCCGAAGACUGGGAUGCUGGAGUCUCGGAGAGGAACGCGGAAUUCCUGGUGUAGCGGUGAAAUGCGCAGAUAUCAGGAGGAACACCGGUGGCGAAGGCGGCCUGCUGGGCAGUUUGCUGACACUGAGGCGCGACAGCGUGGGGAGCAAACAGG
RNAcentral lists this ribosomal RNA (255 nucleotides) under uncultured bacterium. RNAcentral describes it as "partial 16S ribosomal RNA". It matches the Rfam family "Bacterial small subunit ribosomal RNA", at positions 524 to 776 of the family's 1533-position model. The record is from RNAcentral.